GUUAAAUGUUUCAUUGAUUAAAUAAUUAUUAAUAUUUGAUUCUUACUUGUUUUGAUCUGGAUCAAUCUCUCUGCUUUGGCCCUGAAGUGUUUUGAGUGAUAGGCUUAAUUGGAGGAGAUUCGUAGUCUUCGUUACUAAUUUGGACUCAACUGCAACCAUCUAAUCUGAAACAAUUCAGGUAAAUAUGUACAACUUUUUCAAUUAGCAUUUUGUUAAGAAUAUUAUUUUUGGCUUCUUCGAUGUUAUUUUUUCCCCUAAGAGAGAGUCCUAUAAGCUUGCGUGAUACCAUUUGUUAUAUGUUUAACUUGUAUUUAUAGGUAUUUUACCAUUGAAAUCAAAAAUUUUAUUUAUUUUUUAAACAGAUUCCGACAUCCGGCAAAUCCAACCCUUUAGGUAAAAAUAAGAGAGAGAAGACGCAUGAUCCAUUUUCCAUAAACGAAUUCUUUCAAAUCCUUGUAUCGAGUAUUCACAACAGUUAGUAUAUAUAUAUAUAUAUAUAUAUAUAUAUAUAUUUUUUUUUUUAAUGUAUCAAAAUCUAUCAUGCUCGGUCAAUUGAACCAAUAAAAUAGUCGAACACAUGCAUUUCAACCUUGAAUAUCCACUAUUUAAAACCUGUUAUAAAAUCAGUGAAUCUUCAAUCGGAACUUGAUUGCUAUGGUUUCAGAUUUUUCAAGGUCAAUCUUAACUCAAAAAUAAAGCGCCUGUUUCGUUUGCAUUUCAAUUUUCAAUUUUCAGUUUUCAGUUUUCUAUUUUAAUGUUUCGGUUUAAAUUGUUGAAAACACUUUUGAUUUGUCAUACAUGUACAUUAUAAAAUUGAUAAGUCUUUCAAUGCUUAUUUUUUGCUACAGAAGUAAAAGAAAACUAACUAAUAAAUUAAGUUGUCAGAAUAUAGAAAAUAAAAAAAAAUGAAAUUAAU
This 916-nucleotide long non-coding RNA is filed under the name Olea europaea subsp. europaea. Lineage: Eukaryota; Viridiplantae; Streptophyta; Magnoliopsida; Lamiales; Oleaceae. The record is from RNAcentral.